CCACUGCUCGGUGAAGGACGCCCCAUGCCGCACCGUAGUGAAGUGACCUAGCCUCAAUCGAUCCUGCAUGCUCUUAUCUCUGCACGCCAUCUUCUCCUGUUUUGACUUUUCUAUAAGGAGCUUCUUGCUCAUCGUUACACAUCUAUUCAACCGCUCCUUGUACUUCUCCAGCAUCUUUUGUUGUUCAUCUAUCUGCCGUCUCAAAUCACAGUUGGCUCUUAGUAAG
RNAcentral lists this long non-coding RNA (226 nucleotides) under Gallus gallus (chicken). The record is from RNAcentral. Lineage: Eukaryota; Metazoa; Chordata; Aves; Galliformes; Phasianidae.